Molecule: ribosomal RNA, 395 nt
Filed under: uncultured bacterium
Lineage: Bacteria
Description: bacterial SSU rRNA
Rfam family: Bacterial small subunit ribosomal RNA
Source: RNAcentral
GUGUCAGCAGCCGCGGUAAUACGUAGGGGGCAAGCGUUGUCCGGAAUCAUUGGGCGUAAAGCGCGUGUAGGCGGCUUGGUAAGUCUGGCGUGAAAUCUUGGGGCUCAACCCCAAGCCUGCGCUGGAUACUGCCUCGCUAGAGUCCGGGAGAGGAAAGCGGAAUUCCCAGUGUAGCGGUGAAAUGCGCAGAUAUUGGGAAGAACACCGGUGGCGAAGGCGGCUUUCUGGAACGGUACUGACGCUGAGACGCGAAAGCGUGGGGAGCAAACAGGAUUAGAUACCCUGGUAGUCCACGCCGUAAACGAUGGGCACUAGUUGUGGGCGGUGUCGACUCCGUCCGUGACGAAGCUAACGCAUUAAGUGCCCCGCCUGGGGAGUACGGCCGCAAGGCUAAA